This 456-nucleotide ribosomal RNA is filed under the name uncultured Desulfobulbus sp. Its description in RNAcentral is "bacterial SSU rRNA". It matches the Rfam family "Bacterial small subunit ribosomal RNA", at positions 930 to 1382 of the family's 1533-position model. The record is from RNAcentral. Lineage: Bacteria; Pseudomonadati; Thermodesulfobacteriota; Desulfobulbia; Desulfobulbales; Desulfobulbaceae.
CGGUGGAGUAUGUGGUUUAAUUCGAUGCAACGCGAAGAACCUACCUGGUCUUGACAUCCCGGAGACCCUUAGGAAACUAGGGGUGCUUCCAUCUGGAAGAAUCUGGAGACAGGUGCUGCAUGGCUGUCGUCAGCUCGUGUCGUGAGAUGUUGGGUUAAGUCCCGCAACGAGCGCAACCCUUGCCUCUAGUUGCCAGCAGUUCGGCUGGGCACUCUAAAGGGACUGCCGGUGUUAAACCGGAGGAAGGUGGGGAUGACGUCAAGUCCUCAUGGCCUUUAUGACCAGGGCUACACACGUACUACAAUGGCCGAUACAAAGGGCAGCGACACUGCGAGGUGAAGCCAAUCCCGUAAAAUCGGUCUCAGUCCGGAUUGGAGUCUGCAACUCGACUCCAUGAAGUUGGAAUCGCUAGUAAUCGUGGAUCAGCAUGCCACGGUGAAUACGUUCCCGGGCCUU